UGGGGAAUAUUGCACAAUGGGCGCAAGCCUGAUGCAGCCAUGCCGCGUGUGUGAAGAAGGCCUUCGGGUUGUAAAGCACUUUCAGCGAGGAGGAAGGUGGUGAGCUUAAUACGCUCAUCAAUUGACGUUACUCGCAGAAGAAGCACCGGCUAACUCCGUGCCAGCAGCCGCGGUAAUACGGAGGGUGCAAGCGUUAAUCGGAAUUACUGGGCGUAAAGCGCACGCAGGCGGUUUGUUAAGUCAGAUGUGAAAUCCCCGGGCUCAACCUGGGAACUGCAUUUGAAACUGGCAAGCUAGGGUCUCGUAGAGGGGGGUAGAAUUCCAGGUGUAGCGGUGAAAUGCGUAGAGAUCUGGAGGAAUACCGGUGGCGAAGGCGGCCCCCUGGACGAAGACUGACGCUCAGGUGCGAAAGCGUGGGGCAGCAAACAGGAUUAGAUACCCUGGUAGUCCACGCUGUAAACGAUGUCGAUUUGGAGGUUGUGCCCCUUGAGGCGUGGCUUCCGGAGCUAACGCGUUAAAUCGACCGCC
This 528-nucleotide ribosomal RNA is filed under the name uncultured bacterium. RNAcentral describes it as "partial 16S ribosomal RNA". It matches the Rfam family "Bacterial small subunit ribosomal RNA", at positions 355 to 873 of the family's 1533-position model. The record is from RNAcentral.